GGAAUAUUGCGCAAUGGGGGAAACCCUGACGCAGCAACGCCGCGUGAGUGAAGAAGUAUCUCGGUAUGUAAAGCUCUAUCAGCGGGGAAGAAAGAGGACGGUCCCCGACUAAGAAGCCCCGGCUAACUACGUGCCAGCAGCCGCGGUAAUACGUAGGAGGCAAGCGUUAUCCGGAAUGACUGGGCGUAAAGGGUGCGUAGGUGGUUUGGCAAGUUAGUAGCGUAACUCCGGAGCUCAACUUCGGAACUACUACUAAAACUGUCGGACUUGAGUGCAGGAGGGGCAACUGGAAUUCCUAGUGUAGCGGUGGAAUGCGUAGAUAUUAGGAGGAACACCAGUGGCGAAGGCGAGUUGCUGGACUGUAACUGACACUGAGGCACGAAAGCGUGGGGAGCAAACAG
This 401-nucleotide ribosomal RNA is filed under the name uncultured bacterium. RNAcentral's name for it is "bacterial SSU rRNA". It matches the Rfam family "Bacterial small subunit ribosomal RNA", at positions 358 to 775 of the family's 1533-position model. The record is from RNAcentral.